Molecule: ribosomal RNA, 460 nt
Filed under: uncultured bacterium
Lineage: Bacteria
Description: partial 16S ribosomal RNA
Rfam family: Bacterial small subunit ribosomal RNA
Source: RNAcentral
CCUACGGGAGGCAGCAGUGAGGAAUAUUGGUCAAUGGACGAGAGUCUGAACCAGCCAAGUCGCGUGAAGGAUGACUGCCCUAUGGGUUGUAAACUUCUUUUGUAUGGGAGUAAAAUUUUCCGCGUGUAGGCUUUUGUAUGUACCCUAUGAAUAAGAAUCGGCUAACUCCGUGCCAGCAGCCGCGGUAAUCCGGAGGGUCCGAGCGUUAUCCGGAUUUAUUGGGUUUAAAGGGAGCGUAGGUGGAUUGUUAAGUCAGGUGUGAAAGUUUGCGGCUCAACCGUAAAAGUGCAGUUGAAACUGGCAGGCUUGAGUACAGUAGAGGUGGGUGGAAUUCGUGGUGUAGCGGUGAAAUGCGUAGAGAUCACGAAGAAUGCCGAUGGCGAAGGCAGUUCACUGGACUGCAACUGACACUGAGGCGCGAAAGUGUGGGUAGCAAACAGGAUUAGAUACCCGUGUAGUC